This 699-nucleotide ribosomal RNA is filed under the name Desulfobacterales bacterium enrichment culture clone MS_NAP_U8. RNAcentral describes it as "bacterial SSU rRNA". It matches the Rfam family "Bacterial small subunit ribosomal RNA", at positions 56 to 729 of the family's 1533-position model. The record is from RNAcentral. Lineage: Bacteria; Pseudomonadati; Thermodesulfobacteriota; Desulfobacteria; Desulfobacterales.
UGCAAGUCGAACGAGAAAGGGAUUGCUUGCAAUCCUGAGUAGAGUGGCGCACGGGUGAGUAACACGUAGAUAAUCUACCUUCAAGCCUGGGAUAACUAUUCGAAAGGAUAGCUAAUACCGGAUAAAGUUAAUUUACAUAAGUUUAUUAAUGAAAGAUUGCCUCUUCUUGAAAGCAAUUGUUUGGGGAUGAGUCUGCGGACCAUUAGCUUGUUGGUGGGGUAACGGCCUACCAAGGCAGCGAUGGUUAGCUGGUCUGAGAGGAUGAUCAGUCACACUGGAACUGGAACACGGUCCAGACUCCUACGGGAGGCAGCAGUGAGGAAUUUUGCGCAAUGGGGGAAACCCUGACGCAGCAACGCCGCGUGAGUGAAGAAGGCCUUUGGGUCGUAAAGCUCUGUCAACAAGGAAGAAAUUAUUAUCAUUUAAUAGAUGUUAAUAUUGACGGUACUUGUGGAGGAAGCGCCGGCUAACUCCGUGCCAGCAGCCGCGGUAACACGGGGGGCGCAAGCGUUAUUCGGAAUUAUUGGGCGUAAAGGGCGCGCAGGCGGUCUUGUCAGUCAGGUGUGAAAGCCCGGGGCUCAACCCUGGAAGAGCACUUGAAACAGCAAGACUUGAAUACAGGAGAGGAGAGAGGAAUUCCUGGUGUAGAGGUGAAAUUCGUAGAUAUCAGGAGGAACACCGAUGGCGAAGGCAUCUCUC